RNAcentral lists this ribosomal RNA (186 nucleotides) under uncultured bacterium. Its description in RNAcentral is "partial 16S ribosomal RNA". It matches the Rfam family "Bacterial small subunit ribosomal RNA", at positions 1316 to 1500 of the family's 1533-position model. The record is from RNAcentral.
UACCAUGAAGCUGGAGUUACUAGUAAUCGCAGAUCAGAAUGCUGCGGUGAAUGCGUUCCCGGGUCUUGUACACACCGCCCGUCACACCACGGAAGUUGGGGCGCCCGAAGCCACUUAGCUAACCCUUUUGGGAAGCGAGUGUCGAAGGUGAAAUCAAUAACUGGGGUGAAGUCGUAACAAGGUAUC